UCUUUCCCAAGGGGGAGCGGAUGUUAUCCGCUGAGAGGAGGGUGUAACCCUCGACCCCUUGAACCUGAUCCGGGUAAUGCCGGCGGAGGGAUUUGGGAAAGAGUGAGAG
Molecule: non-coding RNA, 109 nt
Filed under: Pseudothermotoga thermarum
Lineage: Bacteria; Thermotogati; Thermotogota; Thermotogae; Thermotogales; Thermotogaceae
Also listed under: 1 other name
Description: TPP sequence
Rfam family: TPP riboswitch aptamer (THI element)
About the family: Vitamin B(1) in its active form thiamin pyrophosphate (TPP) is an essential coenzyme that is synthesised by coupling of pyrimidine and thiazole moieties in bacteria. The previously detected thiamin-regulatory element, thi box was extended, resulting in a new, highly conserved RNA secondary structure, the THI element, which is widely distributed in eubacteria and also occurs in some archaea.
Source: RNAcentral